Molecule: long non-coding RNA, 454 nt
Filed under: Arabidopsis lyrata
Lineage: Eukaryota; Viridiplantae; Streptophyta; Magnoliopsida; Brassicales; Brassicaceae
Description: long non-coding RNA (ALYR_LNC000693)
Source: RNAcentral
CACUAAGAUUCUCUACGCUGCGAUGUCCACUGCCAGAUCCAGAUGAAUAGCACUGCGGUUCUUCAGACACCAUUACUUCCUCGCACUCCGGUGUCAAACUGCUCCUGUUCCAUCUACUAGUCUUGGAAACAUUAUCAGCAUGAGAUAUUAACUCCUCCUUUGGGGAAGUCAAACCUGUCCCCCACCUAGAUGUCUUAAUACAUGGUUCCUGCAUCACUUGUUCUUCCUCCAACAGACCCUCUUUUACAUGCUUCUGCAUCACCUGUUCUUCCUCCAACUGACCCUCCUCCAAAUCAUCAACGGAAUGUUUCACAGACAGCAUGGCUUCUAAAGGCUGCACUGGAACAAGAUAACUAGGUUCUGGCGACAUCAAAAAAUUAACUUGAUCCUUUGAAGAAGUCUUACCAGCAACAGCCUGGUUGGAUAUCACAGUUGUAGUCGGAAUAGGGAAAGG